This 27-nucleotide small RNA is filed under the name Bombyx mori (domestic silkworm). RNAcentral's name for it is "ovarian small RNA-6514". The record is from RNAcentral. Lineage: Eukaryota; Metazoa; Arthropoda; Insecta; Lepidoptera; Bombycidae.
UAGUUUUGUGAAUGUAUGAUUGUUUGG